UUCUGAAUAUUUUAAGGUUUAGAAAUUUACAUUGUAAAUGUAUUAGUGAGUGUUUUUCUUCAGAAU
This 66-nucleotide transfer RNA is filed under the name Schmidtea mediterranea. RNAcentral's name for it is "tRNA-Tyr". The record is from RNAcentral. Lineage: Eukaryota; Metazoa; Platyhelminthes; Tricladida; Dugesiidae.